Molecule: ribosomal RNA, 440 nt
Filed under: uncultured bacterium
Lineage: Bacteria
Description: partial 16S ribosomal RNA
Rfam family: Bacterial small subunit ribosomal RNA
Source: RNAcentral
CCUACGGGAGGCAGCAGUGGGGGAUAUUGCACAAUGGGGGAAACCCUGAUGCAGCGACGCCGCGUGGGUGAAGAAGCGCCUCGGCGCGUAAAGCCCUGUCAGCAGGGAAGAAAAUGACGGUACCUGAAGAAGAAGCCCCGGCUAACUACGUGCCAGCAGCCGCGGUAAUACGUAGGGGGCAGGAGUUAUCCGGAUUUACUGGGUGUAAAGGGGGCGCAGACGGCGAUGCAAGACAGGAGUGAAAGCCCGGGGCCCAACCCCGGGACUGCUCUUGGAACUGCGUGGCGAGAGUGCAGGAGGGGCAGGCGGAAUUCCUGGUGUAGCGGUGAAAUGCGUAGAUAUCAGGAGGAACACCGGUGGCGAAGGCGGCCUGCUGGACUGCAACUGACGUUGAGGCCCGAAAGCGUGGGGAGCAAACAGGAUUAGAUACCCUUGUAGUC